RNAcentral lists this ribosomal RNA (253 nucleotides) under uncultured bacterium. RNAcentral describes it as "partial 16S ribosomal RNA". It matches the Rfam family "Bacterial small subunit ribosomal RNA", at positions 524 to 776 of the family's 1533-position model. The record is from RNAcentral.
UACAGAGGUCUCAAGCGUUGUUCGGAUUCAUUGGGCGUAAAGGGUGCGUAGGCGGCGCGGUAAGUCGGGUGUGAAAUCUCGGAGCUUAACUCCGAAACUGCAUUCGAUACUGCCGUGCUUGAGGACUGGAGAGGAGACUGGAAUUUACGGUGUAGCAGUGAAAUGCGUAGAGAUCGUAAGGAAGACCAGUGGCGAAGGCGGGUCUCUGGACAGUUCCUGACACUGAGGCACGAAGACCAGGGGAGCAAACGGG